This 396-nucleotide ribosomal RNA is filed under the name uncultured bacterium. RNAcentral describes it as "bacterial SSU rRNA". It matches the Rfam family "Bacterial small subunit ribosomal RNA", at positions 29 to 428 of the family's 1533-position model. The record is from RNAcentral.
AUUGAACGCUGGCGGCAUGCCUUACACAUGCAAGUCGAACGGCAGCGCGGGAGCAAUCCUGGCGGCGAGUGGCGAACGGGCGAGUAAUAUAUCGGAACGUGCCCAGUAGUGGGGGAUAGCCCGGCGAAAGCCGGAUUAAUACCGCAUGAGACCUGAGGGUGAAAGCGGGGGAUCGCAAGACCUCGCGCUAUUGGAGCGGCCGAUAUCAGAUUAGCUAGUUGGUGGGGUAAAGGCCUACCAAGGCAACGAUCUGUAGUUGGUCUGAGAGGACGACCAGCCACACUGGGACUGAGACACGGCCCAGACUCCUACGGGAGGCAGCAGUGGGGAAUUUUGGACAAUGGGCGCAAGCCUGAUCCAGCAAUGCCGCGUGCAGGAAGAAGGCCUCGGUUGUAA